RNAcentral lists this ribosomal RNA (235 nucleotides) under uncultured bacterium. Its description in RNAcentral is "partial 16S ribosomal RNA". It matches the Rfam family "Bacterial small subunit ribosomal RNA", at positions 99 to 334 of the family's 1533-position model. The record is from RNAcentral.
CGAACGGGUGAGUAACACGUGAGUAACCUGCCCUUGACUCUGGGAUAAGCCUGGGAAACUGGGUCUAAUACCGGAUAUGACUCCUCAUCGCAUGGUGGGGGGUGGAAAGCUUUUUGUGGUUUUGGAUGGACUCGCGGCCUAUCAGCUUGUUGGUGGGGUAAUGGCCCACCAAGGCGACGACGGGUAGCCGGCCUGAGAGGGUGACCGGCCACACUGGGACUGAGACACGGCCCAG